AGUGAACGCUGGCGGUAGGCCUAACACAUGCAAGUCGAACGGCAGCACAGGAGAGCUUGCUCUCUGGGUGGCGAGUGGCGGACGGGUGAGGAAUACAUCGGAAUCUACUCUGUCGUGGGGGAUAACGUAGGGAAACUUACGCUAAUACCGCAUACGACCUACGGGUGAAAGCAGGGGACCUUCGGGCCUUGCGCGAUUGAAUGAGCCGAUGUCGGAUUAGCUAGUUGGCGGGGUAAAGGCCCACCAAGGCGACGAUCCGUAGCUGGUCUGAGAGGAUGAUCAGCCACACUGGAACUGAGACACGGUCCAGACUCCUACGGGAGGCAGCAGUGGGGAAUAUUGGACAAUGGGCGCAAGCCCGAUCCAGCCAUACCGCGUGGGUGAAGAAGGCCUUCGGGUUGUAAAGCCCUUUUGUUGGGAAAGAAAUCCAGCUGGCUGAUACCCGGUUGGGAUGACGGUACCCAAAGAAUAAGCACCGGCUAACUUCGUGCCAGCAGCCGCCGUAA
This 506-nucleotide ribosomal RNA is filed under the name uncultured bacterium. Its description in RNAcentral is "partial 16S ribosomal RNA". It matches the Rfam family "Bacterial small subunit ribosomal RNA", at positions 29 to 523 of the family's 1533-position model. The record is from RNAcentral.